This 498-nucleotide ribosomal RNA is filed under the name uncultured bacterium. RNAcentral's name for it is "partial 16S ribosomal RNA". It matches the Rfam family "Bacterial small subunit ribosomal RNA", at positions 29 to 523 of the family's 1533-position model. The record is from RNAcentral.
AUUGAACGCUGGCGGCAUGCUUUACACAUGCAAGUCGAACGGUAACAGGCCGCAAGGUGCUGACGAGUGGCGAACGGGUGAGUAAUGCAUCGGAACGUGCCCAGUCGUGGGGGAUAACGCAGCGAAAGCUGCGCUAAUACCGCAUACGAUCUGUGGAUGAAAGCGGGGGACCGAAAGGCCUCGCGCGAUUGGAGCGGCCGAUGUCAGAUUAGGUAGUUGGUGGGGUAAAGGCCCACCAAGCAAACGAUCUGUAGCUGGUCUGAGAGGACGACCAGCCACACUGGGACUGAGACACGGCCCAGACUCCUACGGGAGGCAGCAGUGGGGAAUUUUGGACAAUGGGCGCAAGCCUGAUCCAGCAAUGCCGCGUGCAGGAAGAAGGCCUUCGGGUUGUAAACUGCUUUUGUACGGAACGAAACGGCUCUGGUUAAUACCUGGGGCUAAUGACGGUACCGUAAGAAUAAGCACCGGCUAACUACGUGCCAGCAGCCGCAGUAA